UCGUUCACACAAGGAGAAUAUAGUCGUAAAAAAGAUGAACAUGUGAUUUGCCAGUAGGAAUAUGCAAAUGACAUGACAAGGAAUUUCUUCCUCGCCCAAAGAAAUUGAUACUUCAGAGAAGUUCUAUUUCUUCUUUCAUUUUAAGCAUGCAAAUAAUACAUUUCAUCUAUCGACCUACAUCAAAUAUUUCAUUACCUUCUAUCAACUAGAUUAUCUUCGUCGGUAGAAAUUUCACUCUGUAUUUGUUGAUUCUCUUGGCCACUUUGACAUUCGUAGGUGGUGAUUGUUGAUAGAGUACUACACCCUCGUCAUUAAGACCAUUAAUUACAACAAGCAUCUUGAAAAUUGGCAACAGAUUUGCCGACAGCUUUUGAAAAGUGACUGAGCCUUCAUUUCGUACGGUGCGGACACAUGAGGUGAUGUGGUG
This 427-nucleotide long non-coding RNA is filed under the name Zostera marina. Its description in RNAcentral is "long non-coding RNA (ZMAR_LNC004149)". The record is from RNAcentral. Lineage: Eukaryota; Viridiplantae; Streptophyta; Magnoliopsida; Alismatales; Zosteraceae.